Molecule: long non-coding RNA, 1608 nt
Filed under: Sus scrofa (pig)
Lineage: Eukaryota; Metazoa; Chordata; Mammalia; Artiodactyla; Suidae
Description: lncRNA (ENSSSCG00045037058.1)
Source: RNAcentral
UUUUUUUUUUUUUUUGGUCUUUUUAGGGCUGCACUCAUAGCAGUAUGGAGGUUCCCAGGAAGCGGCCCUAGAAAAGGCAAAAAAAGACAAAAAAUAAAAAUAAAAAAAUAAAAAAUAAAAUCACUGAUCAAAUCAAGAGUCUAGCAGAAUGGACCAGAUAAAACUAAAUGGCACUGACAAAUGCUCACAAUUUAGAAACUGACACUUGAGAGCUUGGUGAGAAAAGGUUCUGUGGAAGGGCCAGAAAAGGAUGGUGCAGAAUCUGGACUGACUGGUGUUGAGGAACAAAAGGAAUGGAGGAAUGCUGAUGCUGUGGAGACGGUGGAUGAAGACUGAUACUGGACCAGGACCCCUUUUUGGAUGAUCCUUUGGGGGCCUGAGGCAACUUAAAGGAAGAGAGAGAUAAAUUUGUUUCAAAUAGCCAAUAAGCACUUGAAAAGAUUCUUAACAUCAGCCAACAGGGAAAUGCAAAUCAAAAUCUGGAGCUACCACUUCGCACCCACGAGAACGGCUAUAAUAAAAAAGAUACACAGUAACAAAUGUUAUCAAGGAUGUGGAAAUAGCAAAACCCUCAGUUAUUCGCCAGUGGAACGUAAAAUAGUGCAUCCAAUUUAGAAAACAAUCUGGCAGUUCCCCCCAAAGAUAAAUACAUAGUUAGUAUAUGACCCAGUCAUUCCCAGGCACAUACCCAAGAGAAAAGAACACAUUCAUCCACACAAAAUCCCACAGAGGAAUGUUCCUAAUGGCCUUAUUCCUAAUAGCCCCAAGCUGGAAACAACCACAAAGUCCAUCAACAGAUGAAUGGAUAAACAAAAUGUGGUAUAUUUAUACAAUGGAAUAGUGCUCAUAAUAAAAAAUGAAUGAAGAACAGAUACCUGCUACAACAAGGAUGAAUCUUUCUAUUUUUUCUUUUUAGGGCCAUACCUGCGACACAUGGAAGUUCCCAGGCUAGGGUUGAAUCAGAGCUGCAGCUGCCCACCGGACUAGGCCACAGCCACAGCAAUGCAGGAUCCAACCGGUAUCUGCAACCUACACCGCAGCUUGUGGCAACCCCACAUCUUUAACCCACCAAGCGAGUCCAGGGAUGGAACUCUCAUCCUCAUGCACACCAUGCUGGGUUCUGACCUGCGGAGCUAACACAGGAUCUCCAACAUGGAUGAAUCUUGAUAACAUGAUCAGGUAAAAGAAACUAAUCACGAAGAUUGUGCACAUAUUGUACAAUUCCACUUAUUUGAAAUAUCCAGAUUAGGCAAACUCAUAUAAAAAGGUAGACUAGAUGUCGCCAAGGGAUGGGAGUAGGGAGGAAUGGUGAGCGACUGCUAAUGGGUACCCGUUUCCUUUGGAAGUGAUGGGAAAAUGUUCUAGAAAUAGGUAAUUGUUACCGCUCUACAAGUCCGAAUAUGUGGGAAAACCACUGAAGCAUAUUUUUAAAAACGGCGAAUUUUAUGCUGUGUAAAUUACAUCUCAACUUAAAAAAUCAAAUUAACGUUAAGUAAAAAAUUUCGCACACAUAGCCAUCUGACAUCUAGAUAACUGGGACAAAAUAGAGCUGCUUCAACCUGGACCACGCACAUCAGCAUCGCAGGCAGAGGAUUCCAAGUCCAGGGC